UUUCAAAUCAUAUUUUAGUUAGUGUUAAUUUAUUCUCUACAUUUGGUUUUAUACUUUCCGAAGUCCAUAUAUUUCUAAAUUGUUGACGCUUACCUCGGGAUAGUCGGCCAAAGCCACUAAGAGAUCGUCUUUGGCCAAACAAAAUAAAUCCGAAUAGCCAAGGGACCUCACGUUGGCAGUUCGUCGAUUCCCAGUCCGGUUGCCGGCGAUAUCCAAGACGCUGACCUGUACUGGCGUUUCUCCUAUGGUGGUUAACGUGAGUGUGGACCAGUAGAAGCUGUAGAUGUACUGGCGGGCUAGCGUUGAAUUUUUUGGUCCAUCCAGGUUAUACACCCAAUUGUCACUUCCGAA
Molecule: long non-coding RNA, 351 nt
Organism: Anthonomus grandis grandis
Lineage: Eukaryota; Metazoa; Arthropoda; Insecta; Coleoptera; Curculionidae
Exons: 3
Source: RefSeq, a predicted model, not a curated record